UGAUGAAUAAAUUACUGACGUUGCGCCCCACACACCCCCGACACAUGACGCUGCUCAUUACCCGACACGUAGAGUAGUGACGUAUGUGAAACGUGAGCCAGGGGGCGUGUCCUUUGGAUGGAACUAGUUCACGUUUGCAGCGGGGGUGCAGGGAACCAGGCUUUCAGUUGACUCCGAGGCAAACGAGAGGUUGAGAUGGCACUCCGGAAUUUUCUGACGGACUGCAACCAAACUUUUCAAUAUUGUGUGCGGUUAGCCACAUCGGACGAUGAUGAAACGAGACGAGCGUCUUUGGCAAGAAUGCGUACAAUGCAAUCAAGUCUCCGAUGGGCAAGAGGAAGCCUGGUAGAGACGGGCUUGGCUGACCAGCUGCUGGAUGUCAUCGAGGAAUUUUUUCAGGACACCGGAGAAGAUCGACAAAUCCCUGAAUUCGAAUCUGACCAACACUUGUCCAAUUUCCCUGCUUCCAACACAUCAACAACACAACUAACUGUUCACCUGCUGCUUCCUGUGGCAGGGGUCACUGUUACAAAAAAGUUCAUGUUAUUCAGUGUCUCAAGGAUAUCGUGCUCCUCGAAUAAGGCGACGGGUCGGGCAGCCACGUUGUCUGAUCACAGAAGAGCAACUGCAGUUUCUACUCUCAUUUAAUUUCACAGUGCAGCAGAUUGCAGACAUACUGGGUGUCUCAAGACGCACUGUAACACAACGGCUCAGACAACAUAACAUCACCAUCCGUGGUCGCUACUCCAACAUGACCGAUGCCGAGUUGGAUGAGCGAGUCAUUGACCUGGUACACGGAAAUGAUGAGCUUGGCCCAGAUGCUGUGCGUGCACGUCUUUUUGGCGAAGGCAUUGUUGUCCAGAGAAGACGUGUUCGCCAGAGUCUCCUCAGGACCAACCCAGCGGGGGCUGCUCUCAGAGCCAUGUCUCAUAGACUGCAGAGGCGCACAUACAGAGUAGCUGGGCCUAAUUUGUUGUGGCAUCUUGAUGGAAAUCACAAACUCAUCAGGUGGAGAAUCGUUAUCCAUGGAGGAAUUGACGGAUUCAGCCGGAUGAUUGUGCUCCUCCAAGCUGCCAACAACAAUAGAAGCAGCACUGUGAUGGAGCAGUUUGUUCAGACGGUGGACCAAUUUGGUGUCCCCUCUAGAGUACGCUGUGUCCAUGGUGGGGAAAACAAUGCUGUUUGCCUCUUCAUGGACGUUUUUUGAGGGACAGCUCGGGGAAGUGCUUGCCUCUUCAUGGACGUUUUUUGAGGGACAGCUCGGGGAAGUGCUUUGAGAGGAAGGAGCACUCACAACCAAAGAAUUGAGAGACUGUGGAGGGAUGUUUGGAAUGGCCUCUCCAAUGUGUACUAUUCACUCUUCACACUUCUGGAGCAAGAUGGGAUCUUGGACAUAAAUAGUGAAACUCACCUCCGGGCUCUUCACUAUGUGUACAUGCCGAGAAUCGACCGAGACCUGGAGCAUUUUGUGAACCAGUGGAACCACCAUGGACUCAGGACAACGAGAUACAUGUCACCGUACCGAAUGUUUGUGCGUGGAUGCCUCCGUCUACAGUCACAAAAUUUGACUGGUGUUCAAGGGCUUUUCGGGGCAGAUGAGGGGCCAGCAGAGGAGCAGCCAGCAGAGCAAGCGGCGAGACCACCUGUACCCACUUUGAACUGGCCAGAGAGGGUUGCUGUCCCUGCCAAUACGUUUGCUGUUGAGCCUGGUCGCCUCCAAGAACUGCAACAUCGAGUCGACCCUCUGGCUGGCUCCAGAGACGGGAUGGGGGUUGAUCUUCUGGAGGAAGUUCUGAGCUUUCUGUUGUCUUGAGGUAUAAUUAAACUCAGUCUAUUUUGAUUAACAAUAUCAUUGGACAGCAGCCGUACCGGACUGUCUCUACCUCCAUCAUUGAGUCCAUCCUCACCGCCUCCAUCACCAUCUUGUAUCAUCCGCAGGGCCCAAAAGGUGAUCAGCUGCAACCUGCGGUCCCUCCAGGACACUGUCAGUGAGAACCCCCACUGACAGGCACUCUAACCCUCCUUCCCCCAACACCACCCAGUCAUCUGCCCAUUAUGCUGCCAGAUUUUUGCAAACUCUGACAUUGAACUUUUCAUUGUAAUAGUGUAUAUAUAGUUGCAAAUGUAUAGUCUUUUUUCAUUUAUGGUAAUUUUUUAUUUAUGUUCUUGUGUGCAGUACUUUUGUUAAUGGUUUAUUUUUGUAAUUAUUGUUUGACCUGAACACCAAAGCAAAUUCCUUGUAUUUGAAAA
RNA transcript from Scophthalmus maximus (turbot), 2250 nucleotides. RefSeq lists it as uncharacterized. The record is from RefSeq and is a predicted model, not a curated record. The transcript has 6 exons. Lineage: Eukaryota; Metazoa; Chordata; Actinopteri; Pleuronectiformes; Scophthalmidae.